This 1006-nucleotide ribosomal RNA is filed under the name Scarabaeus sp. SIK-2015. RNAcentral describes it as "partial 16S ribosomal RNA". Lineage: Eukaryota; Metazoa; Arthropoda; Insecta; Coleoptera; Scarabaeidae. The record is from RNAcentral.
UAAAUAAUAAUUAUAUAUAUAAUUUUCUCGAAUUUAAAAGAGCUAAGAAAUUAUAAAUUUUAUUGUAAAAUAAAUAUUUAAAAUAAUUUUUUAGUAAUGAAACGUUAGUCGUUUUUGAAUUUAUCUAGUUUUUUAAGAAAUAAAUUUAAUUUAGUUAAUUAGUUUAAUUUAAAUAAUUUUUAUAUUUAAUUUAAUAUAAUUAAUUAAUAUUUUAAGGGAUAAGCUUUAAAAUAAAUUAUUAAAAAUUUAAUUAUUAAUAUAAAAAUAAAUAGAAUUGGAAGUUUUUAUUUAAAUUAUAGUGUUAUAACAAAUUUUUAUAAUAAUAAGAUUUAUAUAUAAUUUUAAAUAAUUUAUUAAAAUUAUUAAUUUAAUUAAAAAGUUUAUGUAAUAAUGAUAAAAUUAGUAUAAUUUAAUGUAAUUUUAAUUUAAAGAUUAAGUUUAAAUUAAGGAACUCGGCAAAUUAUCUUCCCGCCUGUUUAUUAAAAACAUGUCUUUUUGAUUAUAAUAUAAAGUCUGACCUGCCCUAUGAAUAUAUUUUAAAUGGCCGCGGUAUUUUGACCGUGCAAAGGUAGCAUAAUAAUUAGUUUUUUAAUUGAGAACUGGUAUGAAUGGUUUGACGAGGGAGAGACUGUCUCAAUUUAAUUUGAAUUAGAAUUUUAUAUUUAAGUUAAAAAGCUUAAAUAAAUUUAAAAGACGAGAAGACCCUAUAGAAUUUAAUAUUUAUAUAAAUAGUCUGUAUGUUUAAGUAUUAUUAGUUUAAUUAUUUAUAUAAAUAUUUAGUUGGGGCAACUAAAAAAUUUAAUAAACUUUUUUUAUAUUAAACCAUUGAUAUAUGAUUAAUUGAUCCAUAUUUUAUGAUUAUAAGAUUAAAUUACCUUAGGGAUAACAGCGUUAUUUUUUUUUAGAGUUCAUAUCGAAAAAAAAGUUUGCGACCUCGAUGUUGGAUUAAAAUUAACUUUUGGUGUAGAAGCUAAAAAUGUUAGGUCUGUUCGACCUUUAAAAUUUU